Molecule: unclassified non-coding RNA, 1435 nt
Filed under: Hevea brasiliensis (rubber tree)
Lineage: Eukaryota; Viridiplantae; Streptophyta; Magnoliopsida; Malpighiales; Euphorbiaceae
Source: RNAcentral
GGGACCUUAAUCAACCACUGAAAUUGGUUAUCAUACGAAGUGAAGUCAAUUACAUUUUAAGGAAACCUUCCCAUUUCUACAAGAACUUCUGCAAACUCAGCCAAAAUUUCCCUGCAUCUACAAAAAAUCUAAGCCUCCUUUUAGUUUCACAAACCUGGCAAUGCAGGAUAGUGAUGCGUUAAAAAUUGGACUCCACAAAAUGGCAACUUCUCCUGAAAGCUACUAUAAAUUACGUUGUGGCCAUAGUUUCUCGCAAGAUGAGUGUAUAACGAAGUGAUGAAUCAAGGGUGGUGUUGAACCAAUAAAUUUGGUAUGAGUCCAAAACAUUUAGGGGCACUGAUGGGAUUUGUCAGAGCAACAGCAUCCAAUUUGUAGUGCCUUCAUUCUCCAAUUUCAUUCUGCUCAAAAUUCCACUUCUUCUGGAAAAACAGCUCUCCCUGAGUAGACAUACUGCAUUUCCUCUUUCCAUGUCUCAUGUCGAAAGGCAAUCCUCAUAUGAGGCACAUUUGUCUUCUGAAUAUCAUUUCCCUCAGGGCCUCUUAAAAAAAAUUUGCUACCGAGCCAACGCAACUUUGCCACAUGGGAGAAUCCAGAUUGAUAAACAGAGUUUCUUGCUAUCUCACACAGAUCACAUGAACUGAGCUUCCACACCUUUGCUGCAAUGCUGUACUCUUCCACCAAUGGUUCCCUUGUUAAAUGAAUUUGCAAAGGAUCAUCAGUUGAGAGUGAAACAUUCAGGCCACGCUGAAAGAACAUUGGAAAUGGGUUUCGAUGAUAAUCCAGGAAAAGGGAAUUGUUGCUCAAUGGUGACAUAGCCAAUCCAAUCUGAGCAAGGUAGUACAAGUAUUGCAAAACAGGAGAUUUCCGCAAGUUAAUCCCAUGAGAUAUAUUAUGGCAUAGAAGAAAUGCAGCAGCCAAAUGGUCAAUAUCACCAGCCUCUCCACAGUGUGGCCGAAAUUUUAUGGUCCGCAAUCCUUUAGAUUCACGAAGCUUAUUUAGAGUAUAUAGGUUCGCGUAGCAGUAAUAAGCAUAAUAAGAGUAGGCUGGAUUGAACUCAUUGGUCCAUUCAGCUGGUUUUGGCAUGUGCUUAGUUGGACGCCUUUCUGGUCUACUUUCAUCAUCAACAAUGUCUAAUCCCACAACCUGCAUUAGGAAUACAUGCAGCUGAGGAUGAGAGCUUGGAUCGAUUGUGACUUCAAAUAGUGGAAUGAAAACAUUCUCAAGAAUAUUCUGAAAAGAUUUAACUGUGCCCAUUUGCUUGUACACAUUGUAUAGCCGUGGUAGCUGGAUUAACCAAACAGCAUUCUCACUAUAAAUAGCAUUGUUAAUGAACCAACUUGCUAGCUGGUCCCAUUCACUUUGUUUCCUUCCAUAAAUGGAAACCCUGUACUCAGCCAUCUGGUAUCUGCUUGCUUCAAGAUCUGAUAGAACUUCU